GGAAGCGGCGGACGGGUGAGUAACGCGUGGGCAACCUGCCCCCUGCCGGGGGACAGCCCGGGGAAACCCGGGGUGACACCCCAUGAAGCGGGGGCGGCGCAUGCCGCCCCGGCCAAAGGGUACGGAAGGGGAGGGGCCCGCGUCCGAUUAGCUGGUUGGCGGGGCAGCGGCCCGCCAAGGCGACGAUCGGUAGCCGGCCCGAGAGGGCGGACGGCCACAUUGGGACUGAGACACGGCCCAGACUCCUGCGGGAGGCAGCAGUGGGGGAUCUUGCACAAUGGGCGGAAGCCUGAUGCAGCGACGCCGCGUGGGCGAAGGAGGCCCCAGGGCCGUAAAGCCCCGUCGGGGGGGGCGAAGGGAGCGACGGUACCCCCCGAGGAAGCCCCGGCCAACCACGUGCCAGCAGCCGCGGUAACACGUGGGGGGCGAGCGUUAUCCGGAAUCACUGGGCGUAAAGGGUGCGUAGGCGGCCCCCCCGGCCCGGGGUUUAAGGCGGCGGCCCAACCGCCGCGUGCCCCGGGGACCAGGGGGCUUGGGCGUCGGAGGGGGGAGCGGAAUUCCUGGUGUAGCGGUGAAAUGCGCAGAUAUCAGGAGGAACACCGGCGGCGAAGGCGGCUCCCCGGACGGCGGCCGACGCUGAGGCACGAGAGCGCGGGUAGCGAACGGGAUUAGAUACCCCGGUAGUCCGCGCCGUAAACGAUGGGCACUGGGUGUCGGGGCCGCGAGGCCCCGGUGCCGGAGCGAACGCGUUAAGUGCCCCGCCUGGGGAGUACGCGCGCAAGCGCGAAACUCAAAGGAAUUGACGGGGACCCGCACAAGCAGCGGAGCAUGUGGUUCAAUUCGAAGCGACGCGAAGAACCUUACCAAGGCUGGACACCCCGCCGGAGGGGCCCGCAACGGGGCCCCGCCUUCGGGCGGCGGGGCAGGUGGUGCAUGGUUGUCGUCAGCUCGUGCCGUGAGGUGUUGGGUUAAGUCCCGCAACGAGCGCAACCCCCGCCGGCAGUUGCUAACGGGAGAGCCGAGGACCCUGUCGGGACCGCCGCGGACGACGCGGAGGAAGGCGGGGACGACGUCAAAUCAUCAUGCCCCCGAUGCCUUGGGCCACACACGUGCUACAAUGGCCGGAACAGAGGGAAGCGAGGCCGCGAGGCCGGGCGGACCCCGAAAGCCGGCCCCAGUUCGGAUCGCGGGCUGAAACCCGCCCGCGUGAAGCCGGAGUUGCUAGUAAUCGCGGAUCAGAACGCCGCGGUGAAUGCGUUCCCGGGUCUUGCACACACCGCCCGUCA
Molecule: ribosomal RNA, 1286 nt
Filed under: uncultured bacterium
Lineage: Bacteria
Description: partial 16S ribosomal RNA
Rfam family: Bacterial small subunit ribosomal RNA
Source: RNAcentral